This 612-nucleotide long non-coding RNA is filed under the name Elaeis guineensis (African oil palm). Its description in RNAcentral is "long non-coding RNA (EGUI_LNC040092)". Lineage: Eukaryota; Viridiplantae; Streptophyta; Magnoliopsida; Arecales; Arecaceae. The record is from RNAcentral.
GGCUGUAGAAGGUCUGCUCCCCGUCAAGAUCCUCCAGAGAUAGAGUUGAUGAUCCCAAUUGGAGGCCGAUCUCUGGGCUGCUCUUUCCUCCUUGGUGGCUCAGGUUGUGACGAGGCCCUUGGCCGAUCCUCUCUACCCUCAGGCCAGCAUCGGAUGAACCUAUCGAGCCGACCUCGUCUGAUGAGCUCCUCGAUCUCAUCUCGGAGUUGAAUGCAUUCCUCUAUGUCGUGGCCGUGGUCACGAUGGUAGAGGCAGAACUUGUUGGGAUUGCGCUUCUCGGGGUGUGUGCGCAUCCUUUCUGGCCUUGAGAGCUACUCUCUGACCUCCAUCAGCACCUGAGUUUUCGACGCAUUGAGGGGGGCAUAGCAGCGGAAUCUUCCUAGGGGAGAGCCCUGCCGAAUCCUGCGGUCUGGACUUCUCUGCCUGCAUGCUCGGGGAGGAGUCUGGGCGUGCUUGUACUCGGAAGGAGUCCGAGAAUGUGGCCGGGCUUCAUUCGGACCUCUUUCAACUACGGGCUUAUCGGAGUCACCCGCCUGCCGCUCCUUCACGGCUUCCUCGUCCUUCAGCUUGAAGGCUUCCUCCGCUUGAGCAUAUCCUUCGGCCUGAGCCAGU